AUUGAACGCUGGCGGCAUGCCUUACACAUGCAAGUCGAACGGUAACGCGGGGCAACCUGGCGACGAGUGGCGAACGGGUGAGUAAUGCAUCGGAACGUACCCAGUUGUGGGAGAUAGCUCGGCGAAAGCCGGAUUAAUACCGCAUACGACCUACGGGUGAAAGCGGGGGAUCGCAAGACCUCGCGCAGUUGGAGCGGCCGAUGUCAGAUUAGGUUGUUGGUGGGGUAAAGGCUCACCAAGCCGACGAUCUGUAGCUGGUCUGAGAGGACGACCAGCCACACUGGGACUGAGACACGGCCCAGACUCCUACGGGAGGCAGCAGUGGGGAAUUUUGGACAAUGGGGGCAACCCUGAUCCAGCCAUGCCGCGGGCGGGAAGAAGGCCUUCGGGUUGUAAACCGCCUUUGUCGGGGAAGAAAUCUUCCGGGCUAAUACCCCGGGAGGAUGACGGUACCCGAAGAAUAAGCACCGGCUAACUACGUGCCAGCAGCCGCCGUAA
RNAcentral lists this ribosomal RNA (498 nucleotides) under uncultured bacterium. Its description in RNAcentral is "partial 16S ribosomal RNA". It matches the Rfam family "Bacterial small subunit ribosomal RNA", at positions 29 to 523 of the family's 1533-position model. The record is from RNAcentral.